This 107-nucleotide small nuclear RNA is filed under the name Sus scrofa (pig). Lineage: Eukaryota; Metazoa; Chordata; Mammalia; Artiodactyla; Suidae. The record is from RNAcentral.
AUGCUUGCUUUGGCAGCACAUAUGCUAAAAUUGGAACGAUACAGAGAAGAUUAGCAUGGCUCCUGUGCAAGGAUGACAUGGAAAUUCGUGAAGCGUUCCAUAUUUUU